AAUUCAGACCACCUGAAGCUCCUCAGGUACUGCAGCACAAGAUGGCUAAGUCUGUUAACCUGCAUCCAGAGAGUGUUGAACCAGUGGGAUGCACUACAGUCAUGAGGAGGUGGAGAGGAGUGCCAAAGUGCGUGAUCUGGCAAGCCAUCUGUGUGAUCCAGUCAUGAAGAUCUACUUCAUGUUCAUGUGGCCCUUAAGCCUUUAUCUGAAUUUAACAUUGCCUUCCAGAGGGAGUACAAAUUCACAGACUUGAAGAGGAGAUGUGCAGGCUGAUCAGGAGGAUCCUGUAUGAAAGGAAUUUGGCAGAAGUCGAUUAGUUUAAGAGUCUGACAAAACUUUAUUUCCUUUACCAAAUAUUUGGAGAACAGACACUCAGCAGUUUCACAUGCAUCUUGUGACCUGUUUCCUGAACAACAGGUGCUUACAAUUUUUAUAACCAAGAAAUUGCGACAGCUUGCAGUCAGCUGAUGAAGUCCGCUGAAGAGGAGAGCAAGGGGGGUUUGACCCUGUGGACAUUAGUUACAAUUGUGAUGGGACAUGUUUAUCAGGUCAACACAGGUUCGGUUCUUUCCAUGAUCACUAUCCUGUGUCAAUUGAAGACAGGGUCGAUCUUCUCAUAAACAAGUUAAGUUCUUCAUUUUACUUCCCCAUAUUCAAGCCUUUCUUAUGUUGCAACAGCUUACUUUUCGGAUCAGGUCUGUACCUUGAUCCGAUCCUCUUGCAGAUUGAGCAAAAAAUCAAAAUAAAUCAGUUCCGCUUUUAUGCAUGAAAGCCUAUUUUUUCCUUCUAACUGCAAGCUAAUAUUACUGUUUAACAGA
Non-coding RNA from Paramormyrops kingsleyae, 818 nucleotides. The record is from RefSeq and is a predicted model, not a curated record. Lineage: Eukaryota; Metazoa; Chordata; Actinopteri; Osteoglossiformes; Mormyridae.